This 253-nucleotide ribosomal RNA is filed under the name uncultured bacterium. Its description in RNAcentral is "partial 16S ribosomal RNA". It matches the Rfam family "Bacterial small subunit ribosomal RNA", at positions 524 to 776 of the family's 1533-position model. The record is from RNAcentral.
GACAGAGGGUGCAAACGUUGUUCGGAAUUACUGGGCGUAAAGCGCGUGUAGGCUGCUCGGAAAGUCGGAUGUGAAAGCCCUGGGCUCAACCUAGGAAGUGCAUUCGAAACUUCCGAGCUGGAGUUCUGGAGAGGAAGGCGGAAUUCUCGGUGUAGAGGUGAAAUUCGUAGAUAUCGAGAGGAACACCGGUGGCGAAGGCGGCCUUCUGGACAGUGACUGACGCUGAGACGCGAAAGCUAGGGGAGCAAACGGG